AAAUCUUGACAAACGCUGCUUUUAAAGUAGAGGAAAGUCCAUGCUCGCACUAUCUGUGAUGAUAGUAGUGUUCGUGCAUCGGGAAAAAAUAACCGAUGGUAGUUUAACUAACGGCGUUGAAUUAACCUAAGUCUAUAGAUAUGGUUAUAUUAGACAUAAAGUGCCAAAGAGACGAAUUCUUUUAGAAAUAAAAGAAGUGGAACGCGGUAAACCCCACGAGCGAGAAACCCAAAUUAUGGUAGGGGAACCUAAUAGAGAAGAAACGAAUUUUCUAUGGGAUCGAGUAUUCGAUAGAUAAAUGUUUGUCGCUUCUAAGGAAGUACAGAACAUGGCUUAUAAGA
This 341-nucleotide RNase P RNA is filed under the name Bacillota bacterium. RNAcentral describes it as "RNase P RNA component class B". It matches the Rfam family "Bacterial RNase P class B". Rfam says of the family: Ribonuclease P (RNase P) is a ubiquitous endoribonuclease, found in archaea, bacteria and eukarya as well as chloroplasts and mitochondria. Its best characterised activity is the generation of mature 5'-ends of tRNAs by cleaving the 5'-leader elements of precursor-tRNAs. Lineage: Bacteria; Bacillati; Bacillota. The record is from RNAcentral.